UAUAGUGAGUCGUNAUUAUAUAAAUACAGAGGUGUGCGUAGACAGUUAAUCGGAUUUACUGUGGCGUAAAGCGCGCGUAGGUGGUUAAUUAAGUCAAAUGUGGAAUCCCCGAGCUUAACUUGGGAAUUGCAUUCGAUACUGGUUAGCUAGAGUAUGGGAGAGGAUGGUAGAAUUCCAGGUGUAGCGGUGAAAUGCGUAGAGAUCUGGAGGAAUACCGAUGGCGAAGGCAGCCAUCUGGUCUAAUACUGACACUGAGGUGCGAAAGCAUGGGGAGCAAACAGGAUUAGAUACCCUGGUAGUCCAUGCCGUAAACGAUGUCUACUAGCCGUUGGGGGAUUUGAUCCUUUAGUGGCGCAGCUAACGCGUUAAGUAGACCGCCUGGGGAGUACGGUCGCAAGACUAAAACUCAAAUGAAUUGACGGGGGCCCGCACAAGCGGUGGAGCAUGUGGUUUAAUUCGAUGCAACGCGAAGAACCUUACCUGGCCUUGACAUAGUAGAAACUUUCCAGAGAUGGAAAGGUGCCUUCGGGAAUCUACAUACAGGUGCUGCAUGGCUGUCGUCAGCUCGUGUCGUGAGAUGUUGGGUUAAGUCCCGCAACGAGCGCAACCCUUUUCCUUACUUGCCAGCAUUUCGGAUGGGAACUUUAAGGAUACUGCCAGUGACAAACUGGAGGAAGGCGGGGACGACGUCAAGUCAUCAUGGCCCUUACGGCCGGGGCUACACACGUGCUACAAUGGUCGGUACAAAGGGUUGCUACACAGCGAUGUGAUGCU
RNAcentral lists this ribosomal RNA (774 nucleotides) under uncultured bacterium. RNAcentral's name for it is "bacterial SSU rRNA". It matches the Rfam family "Bacterial small subunit ribosomal RNA", at positions 1 to 1269 of the family's 1533-position model. The record is from RNAcentral.